AACUUUCAGCAACGGAUCUCUUGGCUCUCGCAUCGAUGAAGAACGCAGCGAAAUGCGAUAAGUAAUGUGAAUUGCAGAAUUCAGUGAAUCAUCGAAUCUUUGAACGCACCUUGCGCCCUUUGGCUAUUCCGAAGGGCAUGCCUGUUUGAGUAUCU
Molecule: ribosomal RNA, 155 nt
Filed under: Tomentella intsiae
Lineage: Eukaryota; Fungi; Basidiomycota; Agaricomycetes; Thelephorales; Thelephoraceae
Also listed under: 1 other name
Description: 5.8S ribosomal RNA
Rfam family: 5.8S ribosomal RNA
About the family: 5.8S ribosomal RNA (5.8S rRNA) is a component of the large subunit of the eukaryotic ribosome. It is transcribed by RNA polymerase I as part of the 45S precursor that also contains 18S and 28S rRNA.
Source: RNAcentral